Molecule: ribosomal RNA, 450 nt
Filed under: uncultured bacterium
Lineage: Bacteria
Description: partial 16S ribosomal RNA
Rfam family: Bacterial small subunit ribosomal RNA
Source: RNAcentral
AGCGAACAUUGGCGGUAGGCUUAACACAUGCAAGUCGAGCGAGGCGUAAUAGUCGAGCGGCGAACGGGUGAGUAAUACAUGGGAAUCUACCUUGGAGUGGGGGAUAACAGCCAGAAAUGGCUGCUAAUACCGCAUAAUCCCGAGAGGGGAAAGCGCGCUGCGCUCCAGGAUGAGCCCAUGGCUGAUUAGCUAGUUGGUGGGGUAAAGGCCUACCAAGGCGACGAUCAGUAGCUGGUCUGAGAGGAUGAUCAGCCACACUGGAACUGAGACACGGUCCAGACUCCUACGGGAGGCAGCAGUGGGGAAUGUUGCGCAAUGGGGGCAACCCUGACGCAGCCAUACCGCGUGCGCGAUGAAGGUCUUCGGAUUGUAAAGCACUUUCAGUAGGGACGACGAUGACGGUACCUACAGAAGAAGUCACGGCUAACUUCGUGCCAGCCGCCGCAGUAA